Molecule: long non-coding RNA, 388 nt
Organism: Ostrea edulis (European flat oyster)
Lineage: Eukaryota; Metazoa; Mollusca; Bivalvia; Ostreida; Ostreidae
Exons: 2
Source: RefSeq, a predicted model, not a curated record
GUUAUCAAUUGACAAGUAAAAAUUUAAGUUGAUAGCACAAGUGACCAGUGAUUAGAAAUAUUUAUUUAUGGUCCUGUAAUUUGGUUAUAGGAAGGUCUUUGGUAUCCUUUGAUUAUUUACAAUUUCAUUUCUCUUUCAGAAUAUAAUUCAUGAUAGAUACAGAAUUUAUAUGGUGUGACCACUGACCAGACUGGUUUUAAUAUGCCAUUCUGAGAAUUACACUAUGCAGACCUGGAUCAAUGUUUAUAUAGUUCCAAAAUGAGUUUACUCAGAAUGACACUUCAGUUCAUGCACAUUUUAGAAUGUACGUCAUCAAUGUUCUCCCAAAGGAAAGUGAGCAAAAACUUAUCCAGAGAAUCAACAGCACAUUUUUGUGAAACUUUUUAAA